GCAAACGGAAUCAAAAGCCAUGAUCCCAAUGGUUGAGAGGUACAGUGAAUGCAAUUUUGAGAUUUGGUAGAUCGGAUGAGAGUGGAUUGCAUCGCCAGUCGCCACCUCCAUCAUCACUCAUCCUUCUCACGACCUCAAUCCCAAAUUAUUCAUUCACUCUCCUCUUCAUAUCACUAGUUUCUAUAUCUGCAAGAAAUUUAGUGAGUAACUGUGUUCCAUCAAAUAUUAUCUGAACCCAUUGGUUUUGAUCUUACUACAAGACAAUUAGAGUAAUCGAGCCAGCAAGGCAGAAUGAGUGAUAGGGUGAAGAUGAAGAGACACAAUCUCAAUGACUUGCCCAAUGAAAUUCUGCUUCAUAUAAUGUCAUAUAUGAUGAUAAAAGAUGUUGUUAAGACCAGUGUCUUGUCGAAAAGGUGGAAGAAUCUAUGGAAAUACCUCCCUGAUCUUAAAUUAAAUACCUCUGAAUUUAGCAAGCCUUGGUUUUUCACUGAAUGUGUGUCUGAUAUUGUGUCAUCUCGUAGUCAAGGCGAUUAUCCUUUACGAACUCUUGACUUCAAUCGCCAUGGUUCUUUUCAACAUAAGGUCUUCACUGGUCUCAUAACACAUGCUAUGUCUCGUAAUCUCCAGCAAUUGAAGAUAGUUGUCCCAUCCAAUAUUGGUUUGCCCUAUUCUAUCUUUUCUUGUCAUUCUUUGACCUCUAUUUACAUUUCGGUUUCGAGGUAUGAUGUCAAGAGAAGAACUAGACUCCCUAAGCAUCUCGACCUUCCAGCUUUAAAAAGUUUGCAUCUUGACUUUGUUGGGAUUCAAGCAGAUGAAAGUGGUCAUGCUGAACCCUUCUCAGCUUGUACAAAGUUAACCAAUCUGUACAUUGAUGAGUGUGUCUUAGUUUACCCUAGCUCUCUCUCCCGCGAUGUGGAAGGAAUCCUCAAUGUAAUCAAUGCUUCACUUUCCAAUUUGACUAUCAAAGAUACUUUAACUCAAAAAAACAUGAGACCUGAACCAACUUACAAAUAUGUGAUAUCCACGCCGAAACUAAUUUCUUUUACCGUAAAUGGUUCUCCUUUUCGGGCGUCUUCUGUACCUCAUGGGGUGAAGGUUGAGCUUCAGUCUUCCUCAGUGACGUAAAAUCAAUACAAUCACCUCGAGAUCUAUUCAGGUGAAAGAAGAGUGGUUUUCAUGCAAUUAUAUUAGAUGUCCUAAAACUUAUUGAGUAUUGAGUGGACCAGUCUAUCUGAUUAUUUUACUGAGAGGUCUGUUGAUCAAGCGUAUAGUACUUACUAUGCAUUUCUGUUUAUGUUCAGCAAGUGUGUUAAAUUUAAAGAAUACAGUGUUGUAUGAAUUGCAGUUGAUUCAUGUUGUUCCUGUGAAAGGAGUACGCAGAACAGCUUCAUUUUCUUUAAAAUUUGGUCUAUUAUCAGUAACCAAGACGCACCUAAGUCAACACAGGGAAUAACGAAGGAUUCAUUUAAAAACUCAAUGUAUGUUACAUAAAUCAAAUUAUAGCUUGACUAUGACUAUUUUAUGUCUGAAACUUAUUAGAAAUAGGUAUGAAAGCAAUCCAUUUUGUUAGAGGUUGUCCCAUUGCAAUGACCAUUGGAAUCAAUGGAUCAUUCCAGAUAAUUGGGCAGCUUUUAUUUUGGUAAUUUACACGAUUGGUGUGUAUUGAAAUUGUCAAACCACUUCACUUGUGAUGUUAAUGGGAAUUGGCAAUGCCAUUUGGUCCACAACUUAUUAGAUGCUUUUAUUUGACCUGUUCGACUUAUAAUGGGAGCUGAUUUCCCACUCGGUCUCAAGUUAUAAUGUGGCGUCAAAGCUGAAUGUGCAUUGUGUGAAGAAAAUCUAUGAUCGGGUGAACAUCGAUUGGUGUCCUCCUGUUGGUGUCCUCCUGUUAACGGUUUCGUCAAUUGAAUAUGGAUGGAGCGUCGAAGAAUGGGAUUGUUGGGUACGGUGGUUUAAUUUGUGACUCCGACGGUAGAUGACUUUUUGGCUUCUCCAAGAAUCUUGGAUAUUGCAAUGUGUUUAUUGCGGAACUUUAGGAAGUGGUAGACGGUUUGGCUCUUGCUUCUUCUAUUGUUGUUGCGGCCAUUCAAAGGGUGGAAGAUAUAUCUAUGAAUGCAAGGAGUCUCCUUCGUAAAAUCCAGGGUCUCUUAAAUCAAAAUUGGGAAGUUCGUGCCGUGCAUCAAUAUUGGGAGACUGAUUCUUGGGUUGAUAUUCUAGCAAACAAUGACUAUCUUCAAGAAUCUACUUUGAUGGUGUAUGAGCAACCUCCUACUGCUUUGGGACAGGUUUUACUUUGUGUUCUUUUGGGAGUUAGUCCUCCCCGACUCAUUCCUUUAUAGUUUGUUCUUAUGGGCUUAGGCUCCUUCUACUAUAAAAAAAAAAUUAAAAAUAGA
Cicer arietinum (chickpea) is the source of this 2393-nucleotide non-coding RNA. The record is from RefSeq and is a predicted model, not a curated record. Lineage: Eukaryota; Viridiplantae; Streptophyta; Magnoliopsida; Fabales; Fabaceae.